CCUACGGGUGGGCUGCAGUGAGGAAGAUUGGGCAAUGGGAGGAAUCCUGAACCAGCCAUGCCGCGUGCAGGACGACGGCUCUAAGAGUUGGAAACUGCUUUUGGACAGGGGGAAAAGGCGCGACGAGUAGGGUUUUGAAAGUACGGUACGAAGAAGGAGCGGCUAACUCCGUGCCAGCAGCCGCGGUAAUACGGAGGAUCCGAGCGUUAUCCGGAUUCCUUGGGUUGAAAGGGUGCGUAGGUUGUUUUAUAAGUUAGCGGUGAAAUACCGAUGCGCCACAUCGGGGCUGCCGCUAAUACUGUAGGACUAGCGGUCGGAUGCAGCAGGCGGAAUGUGUAGUGUAGCGGUGCAAUGCAUCGCUAUUACAC
RNAcentral lists this ribosomal RNA (368 nucleotides) under uncultured bacterium. Its description in RNAcentral is "partial 16S ribosomal RNA". It matches the Rfam family "Bacterial small subunit ribosomal RNA", at positions 338 to 702 of the family's 1533-position model. The record is from RNAcentral.